RNAcentral lists this ribosomal RNA (396 nucleotides) under Triticum aestivum (bread wheat). RNAcentral's name for it is "partial small subunit ribosomal RNA". The record is from RNAcentral. Lineage: Eukaryota; Viridiplantae; Streptophyta; Magnoliopsida; Poales; Poaceae.
AUGGAAAUCGUACUCCGAAUAAUGCCCGAGCUUAACUGCAUACCGGAUGUUUUCUCCUACACCAUUCUUUUCAAGGGUCUCUCCAACGAGAAAAGAAGCCAAGAGGCUCUAGAGCUGAUUCACAUCAUGGCUGAGGAUGGGGGUAGCUGCCAACCUAAUGUGGUGUCAUAUAGCACCGUAGUUGAUGGCUUGUUGAAAGAGGGUGAGGUGGACAAAGCUUACAGCCUAUUUUGUCAAGUGCUAAAGAGGCGAAUUUCACCGAAUGUUGUGACAUGUAGUUCAAUCAUCUCUGGCAUGUGCAAGGUUCAUGCGAUGGACAAGGCUGAGCAGGUUCUUCAACAGAUGUUUGAUACAAGAAUUCUGUCAAAUGUUGCUACAUAUACUAGUCUCAUACAA